GUUUUUUUGGUUUUUAUUUAAUUCCAUUUAGGGAAAGAUUCCAAUUCUGGAAUUGUCCAGAAGUGGAAUAUGCCAAAUUUGGCAUAUAACAUGUUAUAACUAGUGACUGAAUUUUUGUUAUGAUUGUGGGUGAUUGUUCUACAAUAACAUAGGCUUGUGAUAUAUGAAUUUGGGGUAGAAAAUCCAAGGAAUUCAAUGGUGGCACUAGUUUUGUCUUUUGAGAAGGUUUUUAUGGAUGCUAUUUUGUGCUAAGAUGCCAUUUUGUUAAUUUUCUGUGCAUCAAUUCUUGCACCCUUUGUCAACUUGUCAACAUGAAAGUUGUAGUGUUUAUGGAGUACUAGG
Molecule: long non-coding RNA, 342 nt
Filed under: Hordeum vulgare
Lineage: Eukaryota; Viridiplantae; Streptophyta; Magnoliopsida; Poales; Poaceae
Description: long non-coding RNA (HVUL_LNC003739)
Source: RNAcentral